This 443-nucleotide ribosomal RNA is filed under the name uncultured bacterium. Its description in RNAcentral is "partial 16S ribosomal RNA". It matches the Rfam family "Bacterial small subunit ribosomal RNA", at positions 338 to 795 of the family's 1533-position model. The record is from RNAcentral.
CCUACGGGUGGCAGCAGUGGGGAAUAUUGGGCAAUGGAGGAAACUCUGACCCAGCAACGCCGCGUGAAUGAUGAAGGUCUUCGGAUUGUAAAGUUCUUUUCUAAGGGAAGCAGAAAGUGACGGUACCUUAGGAAUAAGCCUCGGCUAACUACGUGCCAGCAGCCGCGGUAAUACGGCGGAGGCAAUCGUUAUCCGGAAUGACUGGGCGUAAGGGGUGCGUAGGUGGUUUGACAAGUUGGUAGCGUAACUCCGGGGCCCAACCCCGGCACUACUACCAAAACUGUCGGACUUGAGUGCAGGAGAGGCAAAUGGAAUGCCUAGUGUAGCGGUGGAAUGCGUAGAUAUUAGGAAGAACACCAGUGGCGAAGGCGAUUUGCUGGACUGUAACUAACACUGAGGCACGAAAGCGUGGGGAGCAAACAGGAUUAGAUACCCGAGUAGUC